GCCUGGUAGGUUGUACAGAUGCCGUGCGCUAAGCGAGGCCGUGAGCGUGGUGCUGGCGGUGUCCUUGAAGUUUAAGCAUUGGAUCGCCGCGAAGAAUUGCUGGGGCGUUUAACGCCGUGUCCGACGCCUGGUCCUAUGGUACUGCAGGUCAAUAUGCGGCCCAGGCAGGAGUGGCUUUGCUCAUACAGUAUUGAUAUGGCAGCUCGGGGAGGUGAGCGGCACUCUAAAACCGGAACAGGCAAGUAUGUCGACCUGGAAAUUGAUGUAUGAAGCCUCAAGCCUCAAAAAUGAACAGGUAGUGCCUGCAGGGUCCUAAGGGCGAAAAAAAAAAAAAAGAAAGCGGACGGAACAACGGCGCGUGGUAUGAAUACGAAGAAAAGACGGAAACCAUUCUCACGGUCGUCUGCAUGGCGCCUCUCGGUCUCUGCGAAGAAGCGAAGUCUGGAGUUGCUGAAAAGUGAAAAAAAGAAAAAGAAAGCGAGGUUAACUUGACGCAGAUGUUGUACGAGCUCCUGCGCGUUGUCUUCCUUUCUUUUUUUUUUUUUUUACCGAUGGCUAU
Long non-coding RNA from Dermacentor albipictus, 559 nucleotides. RefSeq lists it as uncharacterized. NCBI's taxonomy places the organism in Eukaryota, Metazoa, Arthropoda, Arachnida, Ixodida, Ixodidae. The record is from RefSeq and is a predicted model, not a curated record.